This is a ribosomal RNA of 1043 nucleotides. It matches the Rfam family "Eukaryotic small subunit ribosomal RNA", at positions 58 to 1113 of the family's 1831-position model.
UCUAAGUAUAAGCAAUUAUACAGCGAAACUGCGAAUGGCUCAUUAUAUAAGUUAUCGUUUAUUUGAUAGUACCUUACUACUUGGAUAACCGUGGUAAUUCUAGAGCUAAUACAUGCUAAAAAUCCCGACUUCGGAAGGGAUGUAUUUAUUAGAUUAAAAACCAAUGCCCUCUGGGCUCUCUGGUGAUUCAUAAUAACUUCUCGAAUCGCAUGGCCUUGCGCCGGCGAUGGUUCAUUCAAAUUUCUUCCCUAUCAACUUUCGAUGUUUGGGUAGUGGCCAAACAUGGUUGCAACGGGUAACGGAGGGUUAGGGCUCGACCCCGGAGAAGGAGCCUGAGAAACGGCUACUACAUCCAAGGAAGGCAGCAGGCGCGCAAAUUACCCAAUCCCGAUUCGGGGAGGUAGUGACAAUAAAUACUGAUACAGGGCUCUUUUGGGUCUUGUAAUUGGAAUGAGUACAAUUUAAAUCCCUUAACGAGGAACAAUUGGAGGGCAAGUCUGGUGCCAGCAGCCGCGGUAAUUCCAGCUCCAAUAGCGUAUAUUAAAGUUGUUGUGGUUAAAAAGCUCGUAGUUGAACCUUGGGCCUGGCUGGCCGGUCCGCCUCACCGCGUGUACUGGUCCGGCCGGGCCUUUCCCUCUGUGGAACCCCAUGCCCUUCACUGGGCGUGGCGGGGAAACAGGACUUUUACUUUGAAAAAAUUAGAGUGCUCCAGGCAGGCCUAUGCUCGAAUACAUUAGCAUGGAAUAAUGAAAUAGGACGUGCGGUUCUAUUUUGUUGGUUUCUAGGACCGCCGUAAUGAUUAAUAGGGACAGUCGGGGGCAUCAGUAUUCAAUUGUCAGAGGUGAAAUUCUUGGAUUUAUUGAAGACUAACUACUGCGAAAGCAUUUGCCAAGGAUGUUUUCAUUAAUCAGGAACGAAAGUUAGGGGAUCGAAGACGAUCAGAUACCGUCGUAGUCUUAACCAUAAACUAUGCCGACUAGGGAUCGGACGAUGUUAUUUUUUGACUCGUUCGGCACCUUACGAGAAAUCAAAGUGCUUGGGCU